GGCUGCCUGACCGCGAGCGAAGGCAUGUCAGUAAGCGCGAGCGAGUCGAGCGAGCCCGGUCGGCGAUUCGACCGAGAGUUGAAGACCGGUGCCAGCGAGCGAGCGAGAGCGAGCCAUGCCAACGCGCGAGUUGAAGUCCGGUCACUGACCGCGAGCGAGCCCUGGCGGCGAUCGACCGAGAAAGAGGGAUUGGAAGAGAGCGAGCAUGUGAGAGCGAGAAAUGGGGAGCGAGCGAGGUCACCCCAGAUCAGCU
Molecule: long non-coding RNA, 253 nt
Filed under: Zostera marina
Lineage: Eukaryota; Viridiplantae; Streptophyta; Magnoliopsida; Alismatales; Zosteraceae
Description: long non-coding RNA (ZMAR_LNC001772)
Source: RNAcentral